Molecule: unclassified non-coding RNA, 22 nt
Filed under: Mus musculus (house mouse)
Lineage: Eukaryota; Metazoa; Chordata; Mammalia; Rodentia; Muridae
Description: oocyte_clustered_small_RNA4626
Source: RNAcentral
CACCACGUCCUCCAUAUGCCAG